CUUUGCGAUGCUAGGAUUCCCCUUAUUUCUAUAAUUUGGGGAAUGGAUUGCUACUAUAAGGUUGGCUGAACUAAUGGAUCGGUUGAACUAGAAGUAGAUAAAGAUUAGUUACUUUCUUGUCCCUGAACUUGUUGGAAUCUACCGAUUAGUGUAAUAUGCAUCAGUUUGUACUGUAAGGACACUAGUUUCUGUGGCAUACAAGUCAAUGUAUGCAAACCACAGGCUAUUAAGAAAUAGCUAGGCCUCACUAGUUCAUUAUCUAGCACCUACCGUGAGUCUUAUGGUCGUGCUGGAGCAAGUUUCUCCUGCUUAUGCUUGUUCUAAUUCAGUAGUUCUGACGCAUAUCAGUUGUGGUGAUCUGGUGAGAUUUUGCCCACACUUGCUGCUGCUAGUUAAAUAAAUAAACUUUACACAUGAGUGAGUUGCAAGUUUAUUUCUGCUUAUCACAUUAGCUGAGAGCCUAUUCUCUGGGUUGAUAACAGAAGGGUCUCCCCUUGAACAAAGUCCGAGUCUUCCCCGACAACCAUACCGAGCUGCUGCUCCUAGAAACGUCCUCAGAUCCUCAGAGCUGCUGCCAGGCUGCCACUGGCCACAACCCCAAAUUGCUUCUCCUGUCGUUGGCGAUGUCCCUAACCUGCGGCUGUUGUCUUCGACUGUGACAUGCUGUUGCUGGUGAGGCCCCUCUUCACAUGAAGGAAGCGAUGCUGUGAGGCCCCUCUAACGUGCCAGUAAUCAGAAGAUUGUAUUCCUGAAUUCAAUUUUAUUUAUAUGUGCUUGAGUUUCUGGUAUGUAAUGAUCUCAAUCCACUACUAAACUAUCUACUUAUUUUGGUACGAUCAGUUUAUAUUUCAGUGGUUCAAUUAUUGGGCUAGCUAGAAAUCAAUACACGUGUAUUUACAAAUCCAGCAAUCACAAGUACAGGAGCAACUAACGUGCAUGCUGGCAGGCAACAUGGUCCGUGUGGGCUUUGUCCAUGGCGGCUGCCGCUAGUGCUGCCUUGAAGUCCAGUACUAAUGUGAGAGUUGCCCCUGCAAGGUCUGCAAUGAGCAUAUGCAGAUUUUGCCACAACUUGCUUCUAAUUACAUGUGCACUGACAAGGCAGAGACAACAGCGCAGGUGGCGGUAGCAUGAGAUGGCACAUCAAGAAGCCAGAAGCGGGUGCCCAUCAGUCGCAAAAAAUAACAGGGUAUAAAUUUGGUUUGAUGUGGCAUCAUAAUUCUUGAUGUCCUCAGCGAUUCUACAAGUGGGAGGCUUCCUAUGAAGAUUAUGUGAAAGUGAUAGCAAGGAAGGAGAAGAAUGUUGCCCACUCCAUGAAGAAUGAUGAUCAGAAGAUCACAAAUGAACAACUUUAUGUGUUGAUGUGUGGAAUUUAGCAAAUAAAUGCUGAGAUAUUGUGUGUUGCUAACAGAAAUAGUGGGCAUUUCUGAUGUGUGCAUUGUUGCCAGUGACUAUGCUGAAAUUGAUGUAGUUUUGUUGUUUGGCAAAUGUUAACUUGUAGUGAUCUAUCAAGUAUUAUUGAAAUAAAGUGAUUUUGUGUA
This is a long non-coding RNA of Lolium rigidum, 1538 nucleotides long. RefSeq lists it as uncharacterized. The transcript has 3 exons. NCBI's taxonomy places the organism in Eukaryota, Viridiplantae, Streptophyta, Magnoliopsida, Poales, Poaceae. The record is from RefSeq and is a predicted model, not a curated record.